GCACAGUGGUGUGCACAGAUGGUGUGCAUGGGGGGUUGCCCCACCUUGUGGCCCAGUUGUUGAAAAACGUGUGCUAAAGUGCCCUCUUGGGGGCCACAACGUGUGCUAAAGUGCCCUCUUGGGAGCCAAAACGUGUGCUAAAGUGCCCUCUUGGGCGCCAACACAUGUGCUAAAGUGCCCUCAAGUCCCCUCUUGGGAGUCAACACAUGUGCUAAAAUGCCCUCAAGUGCCCUCUUGGGAGCCAUAACGUGUGCUAAAGUGCCCUCUUGGGAGCCAACACAUGUGCUAAAGUGCCCUCUUGGGAGCCAAAACGUCUGCUAAACUGCCCUCAAGUGCCCUCUUGGGAGCCAAAACGUGUGCUAAAGUGCCCUCUUGGGAGCCAAAAUGUG
This is a long non-coding RNA of Thalassophryne amazonica, 389 nucleotides long. RefSeq lists it as uncharacterized. Lineage: Eukaryota; Metazoa; Chordata; Actinopteri; Batrachoidiformes; Batrachoididae. The record is from RefSeq and is a predicted model, not a curated record. The transcript has 3 exons.